This 258-nucleotide ribosomal RNA is filed under the name uncultured bacterium. RNAcentral's name for it is "partial 16S ribosomal RNA". It matches the Rfam family "Bacterial small subunit ribosomal RNA", at positions 334 to 588 of the family's 1533-position model. The record is from RNAcentral.
UGGUCCUACGGGGCGCAGCAGUGAGGAAUAUUGGUCAAUGGGCGGGAGCCUGAACCAGCCAAGUCGCGUGAGGGAAGACGGUUCUAUGGAUUGUAAACCUCUUUAGGCGGGGAGCAAUGCCGGGCACGCGUGCCCGGAGGGAGAGUACCCGCAGAAUAAGCAUCGGCUAACUCCGUGCCAGCAGCCGCGGUAAUACGGAGGAUGCGAGCGUUAUCCGGAUUUAUUGGGUUUAAAGGGUGCGUGGGCGGCUUUUUAAGU